Molecule: long non-coding RNA, 1443 nt
Organism: Gadus morhua (Atlantic cod)
Lineage: Eukaryota; Metazoa; Chordata; Actinopteri; Gadiformes; Gadidae
Exons: 4
Source: RefSeq, a predicted model, not a curated record
CCACCCUCCGUAGAGUCUCGGCCACCCCAUUGGCCACCCCAAGCACCGGAUCACAGCGGUCAAAAGUUUUGACGGCUGUGGAAAAAUGCGGAACCUUUCUCGCACCGCUAGUACACUGCCGGACCCUUUAGCCGCGCGCAGCGCGCACACGUCCUGUAUUUGAAUUUAACAGCUCAAGCAUGCCCUGAAUGCCUGUUACCACCUGACGCUUCGACCGGCACCUGCGGCUAAGUGAAGAAACCCAAAACAGAAAGAUUGAUCGAGAGCAGGACAGAAGAGUCCUCCCUGAGGAGUGGCCCCAGUGGAUCCCCAGAUUCCCACAGAAGGUUCAGACAGCGAGAGAGAGGAGCCUCCAACAACGAGUGGCGGCCCAAGGUACCUCCAGACAUUUCCAAAUCAAGAACCGAUAGAUCUUUAAGGACAGUCUUUGAAGUGUUCAGUUUUAAUGAGAUGUCACUGUUUGGAUUCUCUGAUAUGUGUAAAUGUGGCUCAAACUUGAAUCUAAUCUUGCAGAGUCCGCCUAAUACCCAUUGUGAAUAUGAUGUUUGUUAUUAUGUGUUUGAUAGAUGUUUAUGAAUCGAAUUGAAGAAAAAUUGACACUGCUUAUUUAAACAGGCUGUUAAUGCUUGUCAUAUUUACAUUUGUUGGAAUUCAGCAAAUUGUAUUCAGGAUGUUAUUUUAUUUAUUUUCAUAUUUCUAUACAUUAGCUCAGUAUUUUAUACUUUUUGUUAUUUAAAGAUAAAUCCAUAUUGUGAUCAGACUUGAUCAAAAAAACAUUGCACUUCUAAUUUUGUAUCCUUGUUUUGUAUUCCUGAUGAUACACUGAGAGAAUUGACUUGGCUUGUCGCCAUAAACUGAGGACAUCUCUACUAUAAAAUAGAAUACCUUGCUGUCAAUGCAUAUCUGUACAACCAUUGUUCGACUCAGUCGUACAAUACAAAUAAAAACACAAAUAGCAAUCGGUAAAUCAGCACAGUUUAAAAACAAGUAUGAAUACAGAAUAAGUGUAUAUUCUUUUUUAAGUUUUAGCUUCUUUGUUACUUUGCCUUUAGGUAUAAGAACAAUUUAAAUAUAUUGAAUACUUUUCUAUUGCACCUUCAUCUGAAUUCCGAAUAAUGUUGAGAUGUUUGCUGUAUGUGUCUUAAAUAGCUCUGCAUCUCCUGGUGAGACACAUGCUUGCCACCCAAAAAUUAUCACUGGCCCCAUCCUGGCCACCCCAAUGGAAAUUUCCUGGCUCCGCCACUGGUCCCGACGGGGGUUACCAGAGAGACUGUUGAUCUGAUCUUAAAUACAUUGCACUUUCUAUUCUACUCAUUUCUUUGCAUAUGUUUUCUUUUACUUAUCUACUAUUUUAUUUUAUUGCAUGACAAUGUCUAUAUGUGAAGCACUUUGAGUCUGACUUGUGUAUGAAAAGUGCUAUAUAAAUAAAGUUGCCUUGCCUUG